RNAcentral lists this small nuclear RNA (107 nucleotides) under Carlito syrichta (Philippine tarsier). The record is from RNAcentral. Lineage: Eukaryota; Metazoa; Chordata; Mammalia; Primates; Tarsiidae.
GUGCUUGGUUCGGCAGCACAUAUACUAAAAGUGGAAUGAAACAGAGAAGAUUAGCAUGGCCCUAGUUCAAGGAUGACACCCAAAUUCAUGAAGUGUUCCAUAUUUUU